This 398-nucleotide ribosomal RNA is filed under the name uncultured bacterium. RNAcentral describes it as "partial 16S ribosomal RNA". It matches the Rfam family "Bacterial small subunit ribosomal RNA", at positions 523 to 918 of the family's 1533-position model. The record is from RNAcentral.
AUACGUAGGGUGCGAGCGUUGUCCGGAAUUACUGGGCGUAAAGAGCUCGUAGGUGGUUUGUCGCGUCGUCUGUGAAAUUCCGGGGCUUAACUCCGGGCGUGCAGGCGAUACGGGCAUAACUUGAGUACUGUAGGGGAGACUGGAAUACCUGGUGUAGCGGUGAAAUGCGCAGAUAUCAGGAGGAACACCGGUGGCGAAGGCGGGUCUCUGGGCAGUAACUGACGCUGAGGAGCGAAAGCAUGGGUAGCGAACAGGAUUAGAUACCCUGGUAGUCCAUGCCGUAAACGGUGGGCGCUAGGUGUAGGGGUCUUCCACGACUUCUGUGCCGUAGCUAACGCAUUAAGCGCCCCGCCUGGGGAGUACGGCCGCAAGGCUAAAACUCAAAUGAAUUGACGGGG